ACCAGCUAACCAACCUGCUCUGAAACACUUGGAUCACAUCUGAGGAGGAGCACUGUCUCGAUUAACAAGUGCAGGAUUACAACUACACGGCAAAAAUACCCUCACCUCUUUACCUAAAGCUAGUGGGAAAGGACUGGGAAAGGCAGAGUUGUGAGAAAAACAGUCACAUAUAAUGAAGUCGACUUGGGGCCGCAAGAAUUUUCUGCUUCACUGAGAUGUCUCCUGCUGGAGGAAUUAAUGCUGAUACAUUCAUUACUAUGAAUGAAAAGGGCAUGGACUCAGGUCCAGAGUAACAAGCAUUCAGCAUCCACUCAGUGGAGAUUACCAGCAGCAUCCUUUGAAUUUUUACCCAAGCAGCAGCAAGGGAACAAGAGGAAACACUCGAAGACCAAAGACAGUACCAAGCAGAUGGAAGGAGAGAAUGGCAGACAGGCUACCACCACACCUAAAUGAAGUCUCUUCUUACUGUCUUCAUGCAACUACAGAAACAAAGGCUGGUCUAGAAGUAAACCCAAAUGUAUUUUUUAAAUCAGUUUCAGGGCAUUUUAUAAAAUGCCACUGAACUGGCACCCUUGAAAUAAGAGAACAAUUUCUAUACAAACCAAAUAGCAACAGUAAUACUUCAGUUCUGUGCACACAUACUUCAAAAUAUUCAGAUACAGUGUUC
RNAcentral lists this long non-coding RNA (667 nucleotides) under Columba livia (rock pigeon). RNAcentral describes it as "partial uncharacterized LOC102093816". Lineage: Eukaryota; Metazoa; Chordata; Aves; Columbiformes; Columbidae. The record is from RNAcentral.